ACGGCCGUACCGUGCUGAAUAAACCGGUUCUCGUUAGAUCACCGAAGUCAAGCAUCAUUGAGCGCGGUCAGUACUUGGGAGGGUGACCACCUGGGAACACCGCGUGCCGUU
This 111-nucleotide ribosomal RNA is filed under the name Caerostris darwini. The record is from RNAcentral. Lineage: Eukaryota; Metazoa; Arthropoda; Arachnida; Araneae; Araneidae.